This 877-nucleotide ribosomal RNA is filed under the name Aspergillus spiculosus. RNAcentral's name for it is "LSU rRNA". It matches the Rfam family "Eukaryotic large subunit ribosomal RNA", at positions 75 to 964 of the family's 3401-position model. The record is from RNAcentral. Lineage: Eukaryota; Fungi; Ascomycota; Eurotiomycetes; Eurotiales; Aspergillaceae.
UUGCCUCAGUAACGGCGUAGUGAAGCGGCAAGAGCUCAAAUUUGAAAUCUGGCCCCUCCGGGGCCCGAGUUGUAAUUUGUAGAGGAUGCUUCGGGUGCGGCCCCCGUCUAAGUGCCCUGGAACGGGCCAUCGGAGAGGGUGAGAAUCCCGUCUGGGACGGGGUGUCCGCGUCCAUGUGAAGCUCCUUCGACGAGUCGAGUUGUUUGGGAAUGCAGCUCUAAAUGGGUGGUAAAUUUCAUCUAAAGCUAAAUACUGGCCGGAGACCGAUAGCGCACAAGUAGAGUGAUCGAAAGAUGAAAAGCACUUUGAAAAGAGAGUUAAACAGCACGUGAAAUUGUUGAAAGGGAAGCGCUUGCGACCAGACUCGCUUCCGGGGUUCAGCCGGCUUUCGGGCCGGUGUACUUCCCCGGGGGCGGGCCAGCGUCGGUUUGGGCGGCCGGUCAAAGGCCCCUGGAAUGUAACGCCUCUCGGGGCGCCUUAUAGCCAGGGGUGUCAUGCGGCCAGCCUGGACCGAGGAACGCGCUUCGGCACGGACGCUGGCAUAAUGGUCGUAAACGACCCGUCUUGAAACACGGACCAAGGAGUCUAACAUCUACGCGAGUGUUCGGGUGUCAAACCCGUGCGCGCAGUGAAAGCGAACGGAGGUGGGAGCCCCCUCGAGGGGCGCACCAUCGACCGAUCCUGAUGUCUUCGGAUGGAUUUGAGUAAGAGCGUAGCUGUGGGGACCCGAAAGAUGGUGAACUAUGCCUGAAUAGGGCGAAGCCAGAGGAAACUCUGGUGGAGGCUCGCAGCGGUUCUGACGUGCAAAUCGAUCGUCAAAUUUGGGUAUAGGGGGCGAAAGACUAAUCGAACCAUCUGGUAGCUGGUUUCCUGCCGA